Long non-coding RNA from Pectinophora gossypiella (pink bollworm), 1210 nucleotides. RefSeq lists it as uncharacterized. The transcript has 2 exons. NCBI's taxonomy places the organism in Eukaryota, Metazoa, Arthropoda, Insecta, Lepidoptera, Gelechiidae. The record is from RefSeq and is a predicted model, not a curated record.
AAUACUUAAUCGGUUGUUUGAUUUGGUUACAGAUGUUAUUCCAUCUUUUAUAGACAACAUGGACCAAGAAGUGAUGUUUUUAAGAAGUAAUAAAGGCAACAAUAUAAUGUGGAGGGCUGGUCAUAGAUAUAUGUACAAUAACGGUAGUAAAAAUAACUCCUUCUGGCGUUGUCCCGUACGAUGUUGCAGAGGUUCUUUAGUUUGGGCGAAUAAGGAAAAAGUGGUUGUUAAGUUACAGAAACGAAACCGCUUUUCAUAGACAUGGUGCCAGUGAUGUUUUUGCAGAGUAAUCGAGGCAAGAAAAUAAUGUGGAGGGCUGGACACAAAUAUGCACUAAGCAAAAAACUUCCCAAACAAUCUUACUGGCAUUGUUCGUUGCGAACCUGUAAGGGGACCAUAGUCUGGUCUAAUGCUGAGAAAAGGGUCCUAAAACUGAAACCUCAUAUUUGCAAACCCGACUUCGAAGCGUUUGAAAAACAAAAAAAUAAGACAGGCUUUGCGUACCGCGGUUGUCAACAACCCGACUACGUCUAUUAAGGACAUUUAUGACAAUGUCGUAUCACCUUUUAUGAGUGAUCCAAAGUAUCAAAAUAUUAUACCCAAGUAUAAUUCUAUAAGCGUCAGCCUUUAUAGAGCUAGACGCUUACGUCACACUGAAAAUCUUUAAGUUGUCUUUUAAACAAAAAGUGGGCGAAAAAAUAUCUCAACGAUGUUAUAAUUAAUUGAUAGAUACGGAAGAGUUCUAUAUAGAUUGUGCACUCAUAGAGGUUACAUCGAUCGAUGUACUUAAAAAUUCUAAUAAUAAUAAAAAAAUAUAACUGACUGCCUUACUACCGUUGAAAUAUCGUGUCCACCGUAGUCCUUGUACAGUCAUGAGCAAUAUAAUGUACCCACUUUAGGACUCUGUCGCACUAACAUAUUUGACAUUUAGUGAGACUUACAGUUCAAUUUGUCAAAAAAGUUAAUGUGACAUGGUACCAAAGUGUAUACAUAUUAAUGCUCGUGACCGUAAAUAUACACAUAAACUCACGUCAGUGAUCCCUAAUAGGUCGGGCAGAGCCACAAGUAAUCAAAGACAAGUUAUACCCACUGUGGAUACGUAGUCCUAAGAUCAAUAGUAUGAACCUUAUUACAAGUAUUGUUUUUCAUGUUAGAGGACACAAUCCCUCAGUCGGAUGUUACGACUAGUGAUGUGCCGGAUCGUUAAAAA